GUAGGGCGCAAGCGUUGUCCGGAAUUAUUGGGCGUAAAGAGCUCGUAGGCGGCUUGUCACGUCGGUUGUGAAAGCCCGGGGCUUAACCCCGGGUCUGCAGUCGAUACGGGCAGGCUAGAGUUCGGUAGGGGAGAUCGGAAUUCCUGGUGUAGCGGUGAAAUGCGCAGAUAUCAGGAGGAACACCGGUGGCGAAGGCGGAUCUCUGGGCCGAUACUGACGCUGAGGAGCGAAAGCGUGGGGAGCGAACAGGAUUAGAUACCCUGGUAGUCCACGCCGUAAACGGUGGGCACUAGGUGUGGGCAACAUUCCACGUUGUCCGUGCCGCAGCUAACGCAUUAAGUGCCCCGCC
Molecule: ribosomal RNA, 349 nt
Filed under: Streptomyces sp. SA3_actF
Lineage: Bacteria; Bacillati; Actinomycetota; Actinomycetes; Kitasatosporales; Streptomycetaceae
Description: bacterial SSU rRNA
Rfam family: Bacterial small subunit ribosomal RNA
Source: RNAcentral